AUUGAACGCUGGCGGCAGGCCUAACACAUGCAGGUCGAGCGGAUGAAGGGAGCUUGCUCCUGGAUUCAGCGGCGGACGGGUGAGUAAUGCCUAGGAAUCUGCCUGGUAGUGGGGGAUAACGUCCGGAAACGGGCGCUAAUACCGCAUACGCCCUGAGGGAGAAAGUGGGGGAUCUUCGGACCUCACGCUAUCAGAUGAGCCUAGGUCGGAUUAGCUAGUUGGUGGGGUAAAGGCCUACCAAGGCGACGAUCCGUAACUGGUCUGAGAGGAUGAUCAGUCACACUGGAACUGAGACACGGUCCAGACUCCUACGGGAGGCAGCAGUGGGGAAUAUUGGACAAUGGGCGAAAGCCUGAUCCAGCCAUGCCGCGUGUGUGAAGAAGGUCUUCGGAUUGUAAAGCACUUUAAGUUGGGAGGAAGGGCAGUAUGUUAAUGCCUUGAUGUUUUGACGUUACCAACAGAAUAAGCACCGGCUAACUUCGUG
This 484-nucleotide ribosomal RNA is filed under the name uncultured bacterium. RNAcentral's name for it is "partial 16S ribosomal RNA". It matches the Rfam family "Bacterial small subunit ribosomal RNA", at positions 30 to 507 of the family's 1533-position model. The record is from RNAcentral.